UGAGGCUNGAAAGCGUGGGUAGCGAACAGGAUUAGAUACCCUGGUAGUNCACGCCGUAAACGAUGAGUGCUAGGUGUUAGGCCCUUUCCGGGGCUUAGUGCCGGAGCUAACGCAAUAAGCACUCCGCCUGGGGAGUACGACCGCAGGGUUGAAACUCAAAGGAAUUGACGGGGGCCCGCACAAGCGGUGGAGCAUGUGGUUUAAUUCGAAGCAACGCGAAGAACCUUACCAGGUCUUGACAUCCCGAUGCUAUUCUUAGAGAUAGGAAGUUACUUCGGUACAUCGGAGACAGGUGGUGCAUGGUUGUCGUCAGCUCGUGUCGUGAGAUGUUGGGUUAAGUCCCGCAACGAGCGCAACCCUUAUUGUUAGUUGCCAUCAUUAAGUUGGGCACUCUAGCGAGACUGCGGGUAAUAAACCGGAGGAAGGUGGGGAUGACGUCAAAUCAUCAUGCCCCUUAUGACCUGGGCUACACACGUGCUACAAUGGUCGGUACAACGAGUUGCGAGCCGGUGACGGCAAGCUAAUCUCUGAAAGCCGAUCUCAGUUCGGAUUGGAGGCUGCAACUCGCCUCCAUGAAGUCGGAAUCGCUAGUAAUCGCGGAUCAGCACGCCGCGGUGAAUACGUUCCCGGGCCUUGUACACACCGCCCGUCACACCACGAGAGUUUGUAACACCCGAAGUCGGUGAGGUAACCUUUUAGGGGCCAGCCGC
RNAcentral lists this ribosomal RNA (710 nucleotides) under uncultured bacterium. Its description in RNAcentral is "bacterial SSU rRNA". It matches the Rfam family "Bacterial small subunit ribosomal RNA", at positions 747 to 1456 of the family's 1533-position model. The record is from RNAcentral.